CCGAGACUCAGAGGGAGAGAGAGUGGUCAAAAUUUGUGAGGCUUCCGAAUGCGAAGAUGAAGACGAUGAUGGUGCUGGUAUUGGAAAGCCUGACCUAGCUAGAGUUCAAAAUUAUCGAAUCGAUGAUCUACCAGAAGAGAUAAACAAGAGUCGAAAGGGGUGGCUUGGUCCAUAUGUUGGGAAAAGUGGUUGUCUUGAAUCAACAAAAGCCAUUUUUUGGAGACAGGCUUCAAUCUCAGCAAAGAAUUCUCAGAAACCAGCCAUCGGGAAUUGGGGCAUCCGAAUGCUUAUCUGCCAUAUUUGAGAAUGAUUCUUUCCUUCAACAAUGCUCUCAGAAAUAUCUCCUUUCUACUUCCUCUUUGUUUGAGGGUCCUUCUAACCCUAAACUUUCAAAGGCAACAAGGCAUUAAUGGGACAGUUCUUGAAACACAGGAAAGAUGCCUCCAAAUCCACAUGUUCCCACAUUUCCUAAUAAUACGGGCUGAGGGGAAGCUAGCUACUUAUUUGAGCAGAAGAAGGAAGGGAGUCUGCCAGAAUAGACCAAUUUGGGACGAACUUGAUCAAGGAUCCGUUUGAAAACCUUUCUCUUGUGGACUUAAUAUAUGCAGAAAGUCUCCUUCCUUUCAUAUUGAUUGCAGGAGCUGAUGAUAAGCAGAGCUAGGAGAAGAAGCUGUGAAGCCAGUGCAACUGCAUUGGCUUACUCGAUAGACCUAUUGGCAGAUAACUUAAUGGCCUGCUAACAGGUCGUGUAGAACCGUACCCUUAAUUUUAGGUAGAACAUGGUUGGAGUGCAAUGAUAUAUAUCUCGCAGCAAAUCAAGUCCCCUUCGUAUAUGCAAAUCCUAAAUGCAUGUAUUCCCAUUUUUGUCUGUGGCUAUUGUCAUGGGCUUAGUAUGUUAUCCUUCCUUUCAGAACAGUCCAAACUUGGGACGAAUUUGAUGAAUGAAGAUCUGUUUCAACACGUGUAUGGCGGACUUAAUGCAUAAAUAGAAAGCCUCCUUCCUUGUAAGUAUAGUACACCAGCUUUACUUCUUUUUGGUGUGUAUUCAUCCGAAGUAUUUGGAAUUAUGGCAGCUACGAAUUAUUGUCUUCAUCUGAACCAGUGGACUCUCUCCAGCUUUCGGUCCACUUCCAAUCCCUAUUUGCUUUCAAAGCAUGAAAUUCUUUUAAAAAAAGAGACAAAUUUUAAGCUUAGUGCCAAUUUAGGCAUGGUGCAUACCAUGUGCCUCUAAGAAUAGGUACCUUAGGCUUUGUACCAAAGUCUGUUUUUUGUUGAAUGAUAAGUC
Prunus mume (Japanese apricot) is the source of this 1285-nucleotide non-coding RNA. NCBI's taxonomy places the organism in Eukaryota, Viridiplantae, Streptophyta, Magnoliopsida, Rosales, Rosaceae. The record is from RefSeq and is a predicted model, not a curated record.